RNAcentral lists this unclassified non-coding RNA (247 nucleotides) under uncultured fungus. RNAcentral's name for it is "sequence contains ITS2". The stretch from base 1 to 52 matches the Rfam family "5.8S ribosomal RNA", at positions 103 to 154 of the family's 154-position model. The record is from RNAcentral. Lineage: Eukaryota; Fungi.
AACGCACAUUGCGCCCCUCGGUACUCCGGGGGGCAUGCCUGUUCGAGCGUCAUUACACCACUCAAGCCUGGCUUGGUAUUGGGCGCCGCGGUCCGCCGCGCGCCCUCAUGUCUUCGGCUGAGCCGUCCGUCUCCGAGCGUCGUGGUACACUAGUUCCGCUUCCGAGGCCGGGCCGGCUCACUCGCCGCUAAACCCCCCAUUUUCUCAGGUUGACCUCGGAUCAGGUAGGGAUACCCGCUGAACUUAA